Molecule: long non-coding RNA, 266 nt
Organism: Chinchilla lanigera (long-tailed chinchilla)
Lineage: Eukaryota; Metazoa; Chordata; Mammalia; Rodentia; Chinchillidae
Exons: 3
Source: RefSeq, a predicted model, not a curated record
GGGAGUUCUGCACAGCCUGAGCACACCCAGCAUCUGUGCAGAGAUGGUACAAGGACAGAAUGAUGCAGGGAAACCUCUUAGGUGACCAAACCGUGACUGAAGCAUUCUUCCAUGGGUGCUGGGGACCAUUCCAGCCUUUUGAUUUCCCAUAAUACAUAUGGAUCCUGAGACCUUACCAGAGGUUUUGUCCCUAUUCUACCAAAUUUGAGGAUGAAUAAAUGCUUCAGGUCAGUAAACAAUGUCUCCACACAGUAUCCUUUGUGAAA